AGGAAAAGAAACCAACAGGGAUUGCCCUAGUAACGGCGAGUGAAGCGGCAACAGCUCAAAUUUGAAAUCUGGCGCAAGCCCGAGUUGUAAUUUGUAGAGGAUGCUUCUAGGUAGCGACCGGUCUAAGUUCCUUGGAACAGGACGUCAGAGAGGGUGAGAAUCCCGUAUGUGACCGGCCCGCACCUUCCACGUAGCCCCUUCGAAGAGUCGAGUUGUUUGGGAAUGCAGCUCUAAAUGGGAGGUAAAUUUCUUCUAAAGCUAAAUACCGGCCAGAGACCGAUAGCGCACAAGUAGAGUGAUCGAAAGAUGAAAAGCACUUUGGAAAGAGAGUUAAAAAGCACGUGAAAUUGUUGAAAGGGAAGCGCUCACAACCAGACUUCUGGGCGGUGUUCCGCCGGUCUUCUGACCGGUCUACUCGCCGUCCCGAGGCCAACAUCAUCUGGGACCGCUGGAUAAGACCGGAGGAAUGUAGCUCCCCUCGGGGAGUGUUAUAGCCUCCGGUGAUGCAGCGCGUCUCGGGUGAGGUCCGCGCUUCGGCAAGGAUGUUGGCGUAAUGGUUGUCAGCGGCCCGUCUUGAAACACGGACCAAGGAGUCUAACAUCUAUGCGAGUGUUCGGGUGUCAAACCCCUACGCGGAAUGAAAGUGAACGGAGGUGGGAAGGGCAACCUGCACCAUCGACCGAUCCUGAUGUCCUCGGAUGGAUUUGAGUAAGAGCAUAGCUGUUGGGACCCGAAAGAUGGUGAACUAUGCCUGAAUAGGGUGAAGCCAGAGGAAACUCUGGUGGAGGCUCGCAGCGGUUCUGACGUGCAAAUCGAUCGUCAAAUUUGGGUAUAGGGGCGAAAGACUAAUC
RNAcentral lists this ribosomal RNA (851 nucleotides) under Ramularia grevilleana. RNAcentral describes it as "eukaryotic LSU rRNA". It matches the Rfam family "Eukaryotic large subunit ribosomal RNA", at positions 54 to 936 of the family's 3401-position model. Lineage: Eukaryota; Fungi; Ascomycota; Dothideomycetes; Mycosphaerellales; Mycosphaerellaceae. The record is from RNAcentral.